AGUGAACGCUGGCGGUAGGCCUAACACAUGCAAGUCGAACGGCAGCACAGUAAGAGCUUGCUCUUACGGGUGGCGAGUGGCGGACGGGUGAGGAAUACAUCGGAAUCUACUUUUUCGUGGGGGAUAACGUAGGGAAACUUACGCUAAUACCGCAUACGACCUACGGGUGAAUGCAGGGGAUCUUCGGACCUUGCGCGAUUGAAUGAGCCGAUGUCGGAUUAGCUAGUUGGCGGGGUAAAGGCCCACCAAGGCGACGAUCCGUAGCUGGUCUGAGAGGAUGAUCAGCCACACUAGAACUGAGACACGGUCCAGACUCCUACGGGAGGCAGCAGUGGGGAAUAUUGGACAAUGGGCGCAAGCCUGAUCCAGCCAUACCGCGUGGGUGAAGAAGGCCUUCGGGUUGUAAAGCCCUUUUGUUGGGAAAGAAAAGCAGCAGGUUAAUACCCCGCUGUUCUGACGGUACCCAAAGAAUAAGCACCGGCUAACUUCGUG
Molecule: ribosomal RNA, 492 nt
Filed under: uncultured bacterium
Lineage: Bacteria
Description: partial 16S ribosomal RNA
Rfam family: Bacterial small subunit ribosomal RNA
Source: RNAcentral